CCUACGGGGAGCAGCAGUGAGGAAUAUUGGUCAAUGGGCGCGAGCCUGAACCAGCCAAGUAGCGUGAAGGAUGACUGCCCUACGGGUUGUAAACUUCUUUUAUAAAGGAGUAAAGUGAGUCACGUGUGCCUUUUUGUAUGUACUUUAUGAAUAAGGAUCGGCUAACUCCGGGCCAGCAGCCGCGGUAAUACGGUGGAUCCGAGCGUUCUCCGGAUUGAUUGGGGUUAAAGGGAGCGUAGAUGGGUUGUUAAGUCAGUUGUGAAAGGUUGCGGCGCAACCGUAAAAUUGCAAUUGAUACUGGCAGGCUUGAGUGUAGUAGAGGUAGGCGGAAUUCGUGGUGUAGCGGUGAAAUGCGUAGAUAUCACGAAGAACUCCGAUGGCGAAGGCAGCUUACUAAACUGCAACUGACAUUGAUGCGCGAAAGUGUGGGUAGCAAACAGGAUUAGAUACCCCUGUAGUC
This 460-nucleotide ribosomal RNA is filed under the name uncultured bacterium. Its description in RNAcentral is "partial 16S ribosomal RNA". It matches the Rfam family "Bacterial small subunit ribosomal RNA", at positions 338 to 795 of the family's 1533-position model. The record is from RNAcentral.